AGAGUUUGAUCAUGGCUCAGAAUCAACGCUGGCGGCGUGCCUAACACAUGCAAGUCGAGCGAGAAAGUGUAGCAAUACAUGAGUACAGCGGCGCACGGGUGAGUAACACGUGGAUAACCUGCCUCGAAGUGGGGGAUAACACCGGGAAACCGGUGCUAAUACCGCAUAUUCUGACGAGAUCUGCGGAUUUUGUCAGGAAAGGAGCAAUUCGCUACGAGAGGGGUCCGCGGCUGAUUAGCUAGUUGGUGAGGUAACGGCUCACCAAGGCAACGAUCAGUAGCCGGUCUGAGAGGACGGUCGGCCACACUGGAACUGAGACACGGUCCAGACUCCUACGGGAGGCAGCAGUGGGGAAUUUUUGGCAAUGGGCGAAAGCCUGACCAAGCAACGCCGCGUGGAUGAUGAAGUAUCUCGGUACGUAAAAUCCUUUCGACGGGGACGAAACCGCAAGGUUGACGGUACCCGUAGAAGAAGCCCCGGCUAACUCCGUGCCAGCAGCCGCGGUA
Molecule: ribosomal RNA, 506 nt
Filed under: uncultured Acidobacteriota bacterium
Lineage: Bacteria; Pseudomonadati; Acidobacteriota
Description: bacterial SSU rRNA
Rfam family: Bacterial small subunit ribosomal RNA
Source: RNAcentral